GAUGAACGCUGGCGGCGUGCCUAAUACAUGCAAGUCGAGCGAACGGACGAGACGCUUGCUUCUCUGAUGUUAGCGGCGGACGGGUGAGUAACACGUGGAUAACCUACCUAUAAGACUGGGAUAACUUCGGGAAACCGGCGCUAAUCCCGGAUAAUCUUUUGAACCGCAUGGUUCAAAAGUGAAAGACGGUCUUGCUGUCACUUAUAGAUGGAUCCGCGCUGCAUUAGAUAGUUGGUAAGGUAACGGCUUACCAAGGCAACGAUGCAUAGCCGAACUGAGAGAGUGAUAGGCGACACUGGAACGGAGACACGGACCAGAGUCCUACGGGAGGCAGCAGUAGGGAAUGUGACGCAAUGGGCGAAAGCAUGACGGAGCAACGCCGCGUGAGUGAUGAAGGUGUUGGGAUCGUAAAACUCUGUUAUGAGGGAAGAACAGAUGUGGAAGUAACUGUGCAGAUAGUGACGGUACCGAAUCAGAAAGCCACGGCUAACUACGUG
RNAcentral lists this ribosomal RNA (497 nucleotides) under uncultured bacterium. RNAcentral describes it as "partial 16S ribosomal RNA". It matches the Rfam family "Bacterial small subunit ribosomal RNA", at positions 28 to 507 of the family's 1533-position model. The record is from RNAcentral.